GUGCUGAUAUGUUUGGUGAUGACCUCGGGUCUGGACUCUGGGACGUCGUCCGUCUGAAGAGUUCGUGUUUUGACGAAAAAAAUUAAUCUGAAAAUAAAACUUCAUAAAGACAGAUGCAGCGGUAACAUGGCGGCAACAUGGCGGCUGCUGUCUUCAUGUCACACAGACCUCCAUCUCACGUCUCCUUUUUCCUCGUCUGAUCCUCCACAUCUGGGACGAGUUAGAGAGGAAUGAACAGAGAGAGAGAGAGAGCGAGAGAGAGGGGGGAGAGCGAGGGAGACGGACAGACAGGUUAUGUUCAAUCUGACAGUGUGUGUGUGUGUGUCUGUGUGUGUCUGUGUGUGUGCGUGCGUGUGUGUGUGUGUGUGUGUCUGUGUGUGUGUGUUGUCAUUAUAGGAACCAGAUUGGCAGCUUGUUGAGAGUUUGACCUUCUCUCUCUCUCUCUCUCCCUCUCUCUCUCUCUCUCUCUCUCUCUCUCUCUCUCUCUCUCUCUCUCUCUCUCUCUCUCUCUCUCUCUCUCUCCCUCUCUCUCUCUCUCUCUCUCUCUCUCCCUCUCUCUCUCCCUCCCUCUCUCUCUCUCUCUCCCUCUCUCUCUCUCUCUCUCUCUCUCUCUCUCUCUCUCUCUUCUGUAUUUCAGGUCGUGUCACACAGACGUAGUCCCUCAUUUUCAGGAUUGAGCUCUGAGUCUGUGGAGAAACACUGAAGUCCUUAAAAACUGCAGUUCCUCCAGAGUCCACUAGAGGCAGUAAACCUUUAAUCAUCCCGUCAGCCGAAUAAAAACUGAAGGAUUAAACUCAACAGUUCAAACCAGAUUAAGGUUUUAACUCACCUGUUUACACCAAAUUUAGGAUUAAACUCACCUGUAUAAACCAGAUUAAGGAUUAAACUCAACGGUUUAAACCAGAUUAAGGUUUUAAUUCAUUCGUUUAAACCAAAUUAAGGAUAAAACUCUACUAUUUAAACAAGAUUAAGGAUUUAAACUCACCUACAUAAACCAGAUUAAGGAUUAAACUCACCUGUUUUUACCAGAUUAAGGAUUAAACUCACCUGUUUUUACCAGAUUAAGGAUUAAACUCACCUGUUUUUACCAGAUUAAGAAUUAAACUCACCUGUUUAAACCAGAUUAAGGAUUAAACUCACCUGUUUGAACCAGAUUAAGGAUUAAACUCACCUGUUAACAUCAGAUUAAGGAUUAAACUCACCUGUUUAAACCAGAUUAAGGAUUAAACUCACCUGUUUAAACCAGAUUAAGGAUUAAACUCACCUGUUUAAACCAGAUUAAGGAUUAAACUCACCUGUUUAAACCAGAUUAAGGAUUAAACUCACCUGUUUUUACCAGAUUAAGGAUUAAACUCACCUGUUUAAACUAGAUAAAGGAUUAAACUCACCCGUUUACACCAGAUUAAGGAUUAAACUCACCUGUUUAAACUAGAUAAAGGAUUAAACUCACCUGUUUACACCAGAUUAAGGAUUAAACUCACCUGUUUAAAUCAGAUUAAGGAUUAAACUCACCUGUUUAAAUCAGAUAAAGGAUUAAACUCACCUGUUUACACCAGAUUAAGGAUUAAACUCACCUGUUUAAACCAGAUUAAGGAUUAAACUCACCUGUUUAAACUAGAUAAAGGAUUAAACUCACCUGUCUACAUCAGAUUAAGGAUUAAACUCACCUGUCAGGUGUCACCUCAGCUCGUUCAGUCCCUGAACUUUAACCUCUGAGCCUUUCUUAUUCUGGAGCUGGAGCCUUUGUUUGAUAUUGAUCAAUGUUUUGGCCUUACAGGUAUAAUCCAGAUUAGAAAUUGUUUAGAUUAAUCUCAGACCUGGUCUGGUUUUUGGAGGCUCUCGGAUUAAAGGUGUGUCUGUUUUUACCUGGACUGUCAGCUGUUUUACUCGUGUUUCUGAGCUCAGUCAGGAGUGAAUUUUUAUCACAUUGAAGAGAUUAAAUUCUGCUGAAAUUACGGCACCAUAAUCCUGGAUUAGAACAAUUCUGAUCCUGUCUUCAAUCAGGUCCGUUUGUGGGACUUUAGAGAGAAACUCCUAAAAUCGCAGGUUUUCUGAAUGGACUUUGGUUAGAGUGAACGUUCUCAGUGAAGACUCAGAGGCUCAAACACGAUCAGAUCAGGACUGAAGAUCAUCAUUUAUCAAUAACACAGACAUUGAUAAUAUAUCAGUAAUCACUGUCGAGUUUGGAGCAUGUUGUCAUGGCAACAGCAGCUGUACUGACCUCCAUCUGAGAGAAGUUCUGUUUGUUCUCUCCUCCACACAUGUUCUCACUCUGUGCACGUUAGUUUUAAUCGUCCGUGAAACGAGCAGAGUGUGUGAGUGUGUGUGAGAGAGUGUGUGUGUGAGUGUGUGUGUGUGUGAGAGAGAGAGAGAGUGAGAGAGAGAGAGAGUGUGUGUGUGUGUGUGUGUGUAGUUUGUAAGCUAAUAUUAUUUUAAACUGUUGACCGAGACUGAGAGCUACGACUAACACAGAGAGAGGGAACAAGGAGAGAGGGAACAAGGAGAGAGGGAACAAGGAGGGAGGAAACAAGGAGAGAGGGAGAAUGAGGAGAUAGGGAACAAGGAGGGAGGGAGAACGAGGAGAUAGGGAACAAGGAGAGAGGGAGAAUGAGGAGAUAGGGAACAAGGAGAGAGGGAGAAUGAGGAGAUAGGGAACAAGGAGAGAGGAAGCAAGGAGAGAGGGAGAACGAGGAGAUAGGGAACAAGGAGAGAGGAAGCAAGGAGAGAGGGAGAACGAGGAGAUAGGGAACAAGGAGAGAGGGAACAAGGAGAGAGGAAGCAAGGAGAGAGGGAGAACGAGGAGAUAGGGAACAAGGAGAGAGGGAGAAUGAGGAGAUAGGGAACAAGGAGAGAGGAAGCAAGGAGAGAGGGAGAAUGAGGAGAUAGGGAACAAGGAGAGAGGGAACAAGAAGAGAGGGAAAGAGGGGAGAGGAAACAAGGAGAGAGUGAACAAGGACAGAGUAAACACAGAGAGUGUUCUCCUCCCCUCAGGUCUUCAGUCGUUCUUCCUGCUCUUCUUCUCUGAUUAUUCAAACAUCAACGUUUAAACUGAUGAAGUUUUUGUCUCAGAAACUCUCAGUUUGUUUAUUUGGUUUAAAGUUUCAGAGAAAAUCGAAAACACUGACAACAAAACAGGGAAAUAUCCCUUUAAGGCACACACACACACACACACACACACACACACACACACACACACACACACACACACACACACACACACACACACAGGAGACAGCGUGAAGCUGUGCAGACAGACAGCUAAGUGUGUUUUUUCUCCUCAGGGCAGAACCUCUUAGUGUCAAACUGACAGAGAUAAGGACGACAAAUUACACACACUGACACACACACACACACACACACAGAAACACACACACACACACACACACACACACACACAACACACACACACACACAC
Molecule: long non-coding RNA, 3415 nt
Filed under: Xyrichtys novacula (pearly razorfish)
Lineage: Eukaryota; Metazoa; Chordata; Actinopteri; Labriformes; Labridae
Source: RNAcentral